ACUAAAGAAAAAAAAAAGGGAAAACAAAAAGAGAAAGAAGCAGCAGCAGCACGACUCCUGUUCCUCCAACCUCUCACGCCGAUUGCCGACUGUCUUUCCGUUCAUAUUUCAUCAGAAUCUCUCUCCUCUUUCUCACGGUACCAGUUCAAUGGAGUAGGUACCAGUUCAAUACAGUAUCUCACAUACGUGAUGAAUUAAGCACUUCUUAAAGUACAUGCUCGUGAUAAUAU
Molecule: long non-coding RNA, 230 nt
Organism: Rhododendron vialii
Lineage: Eukaryota; Viridiplantae; Streptophyta; Magnoliopsida; Ericales; Ericaceae
Exons: 3
Source: RefSeq, a predicted model, not a curated record